Talpa occidentalis (Iberian mole) is the source of this 467-nucleotide long non-coding RNA. RefSeq lists it as uncharacterized. The transcript has 3 exons. The record is from RefSeq and is a predicted model, not a curated record. Lineage: Eukaryota; Metazoa; Chordata; Mammalia; Eulipotyphla; Talpidae.
CAACCAUCAUUCUGCUUUCUAUCUCUGUGAGUUCGACUACUCUUGUGCUUCCAUCUGUGACUUUCUUUGGAAGAAUGACCUUGUGCUUUGGAGCCACUUUGCAUGGACACAGAGAACUUGCAGUGCCUGGGAGUUUAGUCCUACCGUCCUCACCUAUGAUCCUGUCCCUGCGUCAAGGAAGCUUAGCUGGUGACUGACCGGUAUGAGAAAAUGAAGAAUCAGGCUUAUCAUCUUCCUAAAGGUCACCCAACCACAAAGUGGUGGACUUGAGGUUGAACCCCAAGUCUCUCCCUCUCAUCUGGUGCUUCACAGUUUUCUAGAACUUAAGAAGGGGCCGUGUGUUGUGGUAGAAAGAAUCUGCAUGGCCAUUUGCUGGUUUCAUCACUGGUACCUUCCUGGCUCAGCUUCCUCAUUCCUGUGAUGGGGACUACAAUGCCUGCACAGAGUUGGCCUAAGUAUUGAAGAAC